RNAcentral lists this non-coding RNA (45 nucleotides) under Trichobilharzia regenti. Lineage: Eukaryota; Metazoa; Platyhelminthes; Trematoda; Strigeidida; Schistosomatidae. The record is from RNAcentral.
AUCCAGAUGAGGAGUCCUAAGUAGGAUGAAAUGCACAUCCUGGAU